AGGAAAAGAAAUCAACCGAGAUUCCCCCAGUAGCGGCGAGCGAACGGGGAGGAGCCCAGAGCCUGAAUCAGCAUGUGUGUUAGUGGAAGCGUCUGGAAAGGCGCGCGAUACAGGGUGACAGCCCCGUACACAAAAGCGCAUGUGCUGUGAGCUCGAUGAGUAGGGCGGGACACGUGAUAUCCUGUCUGAAUAUGGGGGGACCAUCCUCCAAGGCUAAAUACUCCUGACUGACCGAUAGUGAACCAGUACCGUGAGGGAAAGGCGAAAAGAACCCCGGCGAGGGGAGUGAAAAAGAACCUGAAACCGUGUACGUACAAGCAGUGGGAGCACCCUUCGGGGUGUGACUGCGUACC
RNAcentral lists this ribosomal RNA (353 nucleotides) under Salmonella enterica subsp. enterica serovar Newport. RNAcentral's name for it is "bacterial LSU rRNA". It matches the Rfam family "Bacterial large subunit ribosomal RNA", at positions 214 to 605 of the family's 2925-position model. The record is from RNAcentral. Lineage: Bacteria; Pseudomonadati; Pseudomonadota; Gammaproteobacteria; Enterobacterales; Enterobacteriaceae.